AAAGUCCAAGAAAUCCUCCCACAUCAAUCAGUUCCAAGCCUUGUGAACCAGUAGUGACAUCGCAUUCCAAAGAAACUAAAUUAGCAGAAUGAACUUCACAAAGUUAUUUCUCCUGAUCGCCGUGGCUGUUCUUCUCCUGACCGGGCAGUCUGAAGCAGGUGGCCUCAAGAAGCUGGGAAAGAAAUUGGAAGGUGCAGGAAAACGAGUUUUCAAUGCUGCCGAGAAGGCUCUUCCUGUUGUAGCUGGGGCUAAAGCUCUAGGAAAGUAGUAGUUUUUACUUUUCCAAAAUAAGUUCAGUUAAAUUAGUUAAAUAAAAGUAGCUUUAUAUUAA
Long non-coding RNA from Aedes aegypti (yellow fever mosquito), 331 nucleotides. RefSeq lists it as uncharacterized. Lineage: Eukaryota; Metazoa; Arthropoda; Insecta; Diptera; Culicidae. The transcript is spliced from 2 exons. The record is from RefSeq and is marked validated.